RNAcentral lists this long non-coding RNA (218 nucleotides) under Gallus gallus (chicken). Lineage: Eukaryota; Metazoa; Chordata; Aves; Galliformes; Phasianidae. The record is from RNAcentral.
GUUGAGAAGCAAAUGAAUUGAUGGGCCUGGAUGAAUCAACAAGUCCAUCUUCUCCAAUAGGGGCUGGAUCUGGUCCUGACUUUUCAAAGUUAAUAACAACUCCACUUUGGACUUUUUGAACUAGAGAUUCUAAACACUGAUUCAACAUUCUUUGUGUCCGAACACAGUAAGAACGACCUCCUGUAACUUCGCACAUCUGUGUGAUAGCAGAUUCAUCA